GAGAGAGGCUUGCCAGCAACGAAGACUGCUAACCCUCGUUUCCUCGGUUGGACUCCGGAGCUCUCUCGCCC
RNAcentral lists this transfer RNA (71 nucleotides) under Pseudogobius fulvicaudus. RNAcentral describes it as "tRNA-Ser". The record is from RNAcentral. Lineage: Eukaryota; Metazoa; Chordata; Actinopteri; Gobiiformes; Gobiidae.